UGCGGAAGGAUCAUUAAAGAGUAAGGGUGCUCAGCGCCCGACCUCCAACCCUUUGUUGUUAAAACUACCUUGUUGCUUUGGCGGGACCGCUCGGUCUCGAGCCGCUGGGGAUUCGUCCCAGGCGAGCGCCCGCCAGAGUUAAACCAAACUCUUGUUAUUAAACCGGUCGUCUGAGUUAAAAUUUUGAAUAAAUCAAAACUUUCAACAACGGAUCUCUUGGUUCUCGCAUCGAUGAAGAACGCAGCGAAAUGCGAUAAGUAAUGUGAAUUGCAGAAUUCAGUGAAUCAUCGAAUCUUUGAACGCACAUUGCGCCCCUUGGUAUUCCGAGGGGCAUGCCUGUUCGAGCGUCAUUACACCACUCAAGCUAUGCUUGGUAUUGGGUGCCGUCCUUAGUUGGGCGCGCCUUAAAGACCUCGGCGAGGCCUCACCGGCUUUAGGCGUAGUAGAAUUUAUUCGAACGUCUGUCAAAGGAGAGGACUUCUGCCGACUGAAACCUUUUAUUUUUCUAGGUUGACCUCGGAUCAGGUAGGGAUACCCGCUGAACUUAA
RNAcentral lists this unclassified non-coding RNA (548 nucleotides) under Metschnikowia sp. JSKim-2014. RNAcentral describes it as "partial contains 18S rRNA, ITS1, 5.8S rRNA, and ITS2". The stretch from base 197 to 350 matches the Rfam family "5.8S ribosomal RNA". The record is from RNAcentral. Lineage: Eukaryota; Fungi; Ascomycota; Pichiomycetes; Serinales; Metschnikowiaceae.